UACGUAGGGGGCAAGCGUUGUCCGGAAUCAUUGGGCGUAAAGCGCGUGUAGGCGGCUCGGUAAGUCUGCUCUGAAAGCCCGGGGCUCAACCCUGGGAGGCGGGUGGAUACUGCUGAGCUCGAGUCCGGAAGAGGCGAGUGGAAUUCCUGGUGUAGCGGUGAAAUGCGCAGAUAUCAGGAGGAACACCGAUGGCGAAGGCAGGUCUCUGGGCCGAUACUGACGCUGAGGAGCGAAAGCGUGGGGAGCGAACAGG
Molecule: ribosomal RNA, 253 nt
Filed under: uncultured bacterium
Lineage: Bacteria
Description: partial 16S ribosomal RNA
Rfam family: Bacterial small subunit ribosomal RNA
Source: RNAcentral